UACGUAGGGUGCGAGCGUUACUCGGAAUUACUGGGCGUAAAGCGUGCGCAGGCGGUUUUGUAAGCCAGGUGUGAAAUCCCCGGGCUCAACCUGGGAAUGGCAUUUGGGACUGCAAGGCUGGAGUGCGGCAGAGGAGACUGGAAUUCCUGGUGUAGCAGUGAAAUGCGUAGAUAUCAGGAGGAACACCGAUGGCGAAGGCAGGUCUCUGGGCUGACACUGACGCUCAUGCACGAAAGCGUGGGGAGCAAACAGG
RNAcentral lists this ribosomal RNA (253 nucleotides) under uncultured bacterium. RNAcentral's name for it is "partial 16S ribosomal RNA". It matches the Rfam family "Bacterial small subunit ribosomal RNA", at positions 524 to 776 of the family's 1533-position model. The record is from RNAcentral.